GACGAACGCUGGCGGUGUGCUUAACACAUGCAAGUCGAACGGAAAGGCCCUGCUGUUGUGGGGUGCGCGAGUGGCGAACGGGUGAGUAACACGUGAUUAACCUGCCCUUGACUGUGGGAUAACUUCAGGAAACUGGGGCUAAUACCUGAUAGGAGCUCCUGCUGCAUGGAGGUGGUGGGAAAGUUUCGGCGGUUGGGGAUGGACUCGCGGCUUAUCAGCUUGUUGGUGGGGUAGGUGCUUACCAAGGCUUUGACGGGUAGCCGGCCUGAGAGGGUGACCGGCCACAUUGGGACUGAGAUAAGGGCCAGACUCCUACGGGAGGGAGCAGUGGGGAAUAUUGCACAAUGGGCGGAAGCCUGAUGCCGCAACGCCGCGUGGGGGAUGACGGCCUUCGGGUUGUAAAACGCUUUCGCCUGUGACGAAGCGUGAGUGACGGUACUGGGUAAAGAAGCACCGGCUAACUACGUG
Molecule: ribosomal RNA, 468 nt
Filed under: uncultured bacterium
Lineage: Bacteria
Description: partial 16S ribosomal RNA
Rfam family: Bacterial small subunit ribosomal RNA
Source: RNAcentral